GCAUCCCCAAAACCCCUUCUCUCUCGCCUUUCUCUCUUCUUUGCAUUCCCAAAACCCCUUCCCACCUGACCCUGACCCUGUAACACCCACCCCCUAUUUAUAAAAUAUAUUGAUGUAUUUAACCCCUCAACGUUUUCAAUAUAUCUAUUGGGUCCUAUUUUAUCUACCCAAUCAGGAUCUAAAGCAUUGGAUUCUUUCUCCCUCAAGCUGCCACGUGGCAGCACCCCAAUUAUUCCCUCACUUCUCUCUCUGUCCCCCCCCCCACGUGAACCUCUUCCUUCUUCUUCUUCUUUUCUGUUUUUCCUGUCUGUCCCGGCUCUCUCCCUCUCGGCUCUCUCUCAUAUCUUUCUUCUCUUCACUCAACCGCAAGCACACACAUGCACACCAUCUCCCCUGGGCGAGGAAGACCCAUCGCCAUCAUCAAUCUCAUCCUGCUCUCUCUCCCUCUCGUGUCUGCGAACCCAGAAAACCGGAAAGGAUCUCCGGCGAGAUUUUUAUAUUUUCCGGUUAGGUAAGCCUCAAAUCCCUAUCUUUUGUCCUAGAAUCUUGUGAGAAUGGUUCUAAUUGGUUUUAUUUCGUGAUUUUGGGAGGUUUUUAGGACGAAAUCACCACGGGUGUAGGCACACCCAUCUCCGGUGACCUCGGGAGUGUCGAGGGAGAUUCCGGCCAUCUUCGGCCGUUCCACGACGAAAGGAAGGUGCAAUUAUUAACGGUGAUUCCGCUAUACCUUUUUGGUACAACUUUGCACCAUCGGUGUACGGUGCAAUUAUUAACGGUGAUUCCGCUAUACCUUUUUGGUACAACUUUGCACCAUCGGUGUACGAGUAAAUAGGUAGAAAAAUUAAACAUUUGUACGUGGCUUUAUCAAGAGGAGUUUCAACGUCUACAAUAAAAGUCUUGGUAAAGAAAGAAGAAUUACACGGUCACAAAGGAGUCUUCACAAGAAAUGUUGUGUACAAAGAUAUUUUGCUACCCCCGAAUUCAACAUAAGAUGAUGAAAGGUAAGUUUGAAAGGAGAAAGGGUUGAAGUGGUGUCUGGUUAGAAGGAGAGAGAUCCAUGGCAGUUGGCACGACCAUGGCCACGGCCACGAAGAGGAGACAUUGUUGGCGAUAUCGAAGCUUCUCAAGGAAUUGAUCAAGGAGGAGGACAUGAAAGUACAGAUUUGGAUUUCAUCAGCAUGACCAAGAUCAUGAGCAUUUUGAUUGUCUGCAGCUCUCAGUUCUUGGUAUUUCUUCAUACAUUUAAUCUGGUUGAAUUUUUUUAUUUUAUGGGUUUGGAAAUUCAAAUUUUUUUUUUCUGCAAUUUAUAUUUCCAUUGAAGUUUUUGAAAUGUUAUGUUUGGUUGCCAGUAUGAUUACUUAUAGACUAUUUCGCCAUAUGCAUUUGCUACAAAAUGUAAACUUAUUUUAAAUGAAACAUGUUGAAGUCUAUU
Malus domestica (apple) is the source of this 1432-nucleotide non-coding RNA. The record is from RefSeq and is a predicted model, not a curated record. Lineage: Eukaryota; Viridiplantae; Streptophyta; Magnoliopsida; Rosales; Rosaceae.